AAUUACUGUGCUAUGCUCUCCUAAAAGUUCUUUUGAAAGAUGUAAUAUCCACAUAUUUCGUAUGUAAAGAUUUACUCUGUUCUUAUUUCCUGAAAACAAUAAUUUUUUGGAUAUCUGAAGAACUGCCACAAUCCGUAUGGAAACCUAACAAUAUGAUACCUUGUUUUAUGCGAUGUUUCAGCAGGCUGGUUUAUUGUGUUGAACACUCAGUUUGUUUGCAUUACUUCAUUCCAGAGAACAAUAUGUUUGAGAACAAAAUAGAGGGUCGUGGUCGUAAAAUACUUUUAGAAAAACUCUAUACUUUGUAUAGUUAUGGAUGGCGAUGCAUCUUAUUUUCGAAUCAA
Molecule: long non-coding RNA, 344 nt
Filed under: Mytilus galloprovincialis (Mediterranean mussel)
Lineage: Eukaryota; Metazoa; Mollusca; Bivalvia; Mytilida; Mytilidae
Source: RNAcentral